GCUUCGAAUAGUAGUAUCAUCUUCUCCAUCUCUUCUUAUACUCUACUAUCAUUGAAAUUAUCCACCAAAUCACUUUAAAUCACCAUUUUCGUCCCUAAUUUGAGCUGCCCAAAAUAUUUGGACAGCUUUAUUGACCUCACAGAGAGCAAAAAUCCCUAGAUUAAUGCAACACUUGCUCACUAGAACGAACACGGAAAAUUGGCCGUGAAUUUUGGGAGAAAGCUAGAGUCCGAAGAUUAAAUGUUGAGGAAAACAAGAGCUAAGGGAUUGAAGGCAUAAUUUGUGGUAUUAAAGUAUAUAUACUUUCUCUUUUUCGCUGCUCUACUUUCCAGUUGUUGUGUGCCAAGUUUGAAGACUAUUGAACAAAUAAACAGUAAAGCUUAGGUCCCCCAAAGGCCAAACCGAUGAGAUUUGUAACAAAGCCCACUCUUACCACGAGAGAAAGAAAGCAGAACCUUGGUUCGCACUGCACAAUGUGCAACUGCAGUUAUUCUAUUCUUUUCCAAUGUUCAAGUAACCCUCAUAUGCGCUCUUAGUGUAAGUUAUGCAGUCUUGGUUUUGCAUGCUUCGUUCAGAAAACAAUCUACACGAAGUGACAGAAACAGGAGGAGCAGUAAAAGAUGAGGAGAAACGAUGAAGUGUUGAAGAUUACUAUCGGUACAUUGUAGAUGGCCAGACUGCCCGAACCAUAUCUGCUUGCCGAACCUAUUAGCUAUAUGUCCUGCAGAUACUAGUGUCCAAUUUUAUCAAAUCACAAACUAGGUUCGAUUCAUCUGUUCUUUUCUACCUCUCUCUUCUCUCGGGUACUUAGUUAUCGACUAGUUUAUCUUUUGGGAAGGAUAUGUAUUGGCCAUUACUAGAACUGAUUAUGUGGGAUUUGGGACCCAACAUUUGUGAUUCACUUUUGUUUUGAUUAAUUUAUAGAUGUGUUAUGCCCAAAUAUAUGAAU
Coffea eugenioides is the source of this 949-nucleotide long non-coding RNA. RefSeq lists it as uncharacterized. Lineage: Eukaryota; Viridiplantae; Streptophyta; Magnoliopsida; Gentianales; Rubiaceae. The record is from RefSeq and is a predicted model, not a curated record. The transcript has 5 exons.